GAUUCGGCGUUGACAGGGGUCAGUAAAUAGUACACGGAACGAAAGAGAACGGAGUCCACCGGCUGAAAGACUCCAGCGUUUUUCAUACUAUUGAACCUACCCUUUGAGCUGCUGGGCGAAUAACCCGGCCGUUCUCCCGCGUUACGGGGAAGAGAGGGCAUCAUCGUUGUGUGAUGCCAAAAAAGGUGGUACCGCGGAGCUUAAGACUCUUUUUCCGUCCUUUGC
This 225-nucleotide non-coding RNA is filed under the name Lentibacillus amyloliquefaciens. RNAcentral describes it as "T-box sequence". It matches the Rfam family "T-box leader". From Rfam's summary of the family: Uncharged tRNA acts as the effector for transcription antitermination of genes in the T-box leader family. T-boxes are found upstream of many aminoacyl-tRNA synthetase genes and some amino acid biosynthetic genes usually in Gram-positive bacteria. The record is from RNAcentral. Lineage: Bacteria; Bacillati; Bacillota; Bacilli; Caryophanales; Bacillaceae.